Molecule: long non-coding RNA, 5799 nt
Organism: Mobula hypostoma (lesser devil ray)
Lineage: Eukaryota; Metazoa; Chordata; Chondrichthyes; Myliobatiformes; Myliobatidae
Exons: 6
Source: RefSeq, a predicted model, not a curated record
UGUUGGGUAUGAGAGAGCGACGGGGUUCGCAGCGCCGGAUACCUCGGCCGCACGGGGUGGGGAGAAUGGGGGCCGCUGGUCCGCCGCACUCUUUGGCCGAUGGAACCCGAACAAAGUGUUGUUAGGAGCAGACCGAGACCUCGGCGGGCGAGCCUAGGCCCGAGAGCGGCCGCAUGGCGUUGUUCGGAGCGCUAUGAAACCUGGACUCGCCUGCGGGAGCUCGCCCUGCUCGAGACGAGAGUGGGUCUCUGCGCUAGCAGGCCCGCGCCUGGGCGCCGGCGCGGCCUCCCUACCUGGCGCCGCCUCACCACGUGUUGCCCGCGGCGAGUGUGAGGGGCUCGACCGGCUUGGCAACGAAAGUCUACCAUUCUAGUUUGUAGGCCGGCGGGGGGGAGACCGCUUGGAUUGCCGCUAAUUGUCCGUGUUUCCCCGUGUGAAAGUGGCUGAGCCAUGGAGCCGAGUGGAAUCGAGUGCAUACACAGGUGGAAAUGGCGUGGAUAUCUCCAAUUUGUCUUCCUCCGUAGACAGUAGCUGGGGCUAACUUGCAAGUUACUAGGCUUACAAGAGUCUUAAGAUGCACAUUGAACACAAGCUAUUCUUACACCCUGAUUUGUAUGGAAGUCACUUGCAUCAGUUUGGUUGGAAAGGAUGGCGAUAGAAGGAAGGGGGUGUCUGUACACCACAGAUGGUGAGGCUGUCGUCUCCAAAGUUGCUGUCAUCGCACUUGCUGAACCCAACAACGCAAAUUAGGUUUUGAAAAAUACAAUUUACAAAAUAAUGUAUACGAAAAUGACAUGAACACUAUCACCAAGACUGGGCCAUUAUGACCUAGAUGUUUGGUCUGUUAAAUCAGACCUUGUUUGGUGAUGUUUGUGUCUAGCAAGAAUCCUGGACCAUAUGGACACAUCUUGUUUCUGUUCUUGGAACUGUAGGUUAACUUAUGAAAUUGAACUGUAGAUGCUCAGAUGACACAUUUUUGAAAAUUGUUCCAAGAUUAUUUAAUGUCAUUUCCAGUACGCAUGUGUAAAGAAUAACAAAGAAAUGCAGAGAAAAACACAAAGUAACAUGCAUAAUAAUUUUUAAAAACACAAGGUAGCUUGUAUACAGAGAUCACUCAUAUGCAACAUUCCCUUGAAUUUGUACAAUCAAUGUGCAAAAAAUCUUGUACCGGCAAUUCUUUGCCUAGUGGCACGUGUGCACGGAAUUUUUAAAGUGGAAGUAAACCUGAAGCUAUUUUAAGGAUAACAACUAUCAAGUCCCGUUUGUUCUUUGUUUAAAAGAAAUAAAAUAAUACACAUCCAUGAGCCUUAUUAAUCAUACUCACUGACAGCAUGUAGUACUAACACUCUUCACAUUAUUAAAAUUGUUUGAAAUGGUCAGGAAGCCAUUGCAAUGUAAAAGAUCUAGCCAUUAUGUACCCUUUGCUUCUUUAGAUUCAGCAUAGUGAAUCAAUAAUUUCUUUCAUGAAGGUGGUAUAAAUAAGCCAGCUUUAAAAUCUGUAGAAAAAUCGUUGCAAACUCCAUGUUAACAUUGUUUGCAUCAGAAACUGGAAAAGGAAAUGGGAUUGUGUGUGAUCAUGAAAUGCACUUGACAUGCCAUUGAGGUGGAGGGUGACAAACCUUUUGUGCACCGGUACCAAAAGAAGUGAGUGCACACUACAACUUCCUGGGACCAUUGUAACGUGUUGAAGUAAUGUAAAGACAGUAUCUGUAAAAAAAGAAUGGAGAAGGUAAUGUAGUGGUGUUGGUCAGCCAUAAUGUUUGGGAAAAGUGGCUGUAUCUGAGCCUGGUGGGAUGUUGAACAGUUAUGACUACCUAUUGUAGUCUGUCCACCACUGUUGUUUUAGGAUGCACUCUACUGUAUAUCUGUAAAUGCCUGUGGACAUCAAUAUGUAUAGUCCAUUUCUCUUCCUUGUGAGAUUUCCUGAUAGUGUCAGAUGUGUUCUGGGGCCAUAAGAGGUUAGACACGAGGAAAUUUGCAGGUGCUGGAAAUUGAAGCAACACACAAAAAAUGCUGGUGAACACAUCGAGGAAGAGGUACAGUUGUAGAAUUCAGAAGAAUAAGAGGGGAUCUUAUAGAAACAUACAAAAUUUUGAAAGGGAUAGAUAAGAUAGAAGUAGGAAAGUUGUUUCCAAAGGUAGAUGAGACUAGAACUAGGGGACAUUGCCUCAAGAUUCAGGGGAGAAGUUUCAGGACAGAUGAGAAGAAACUUGUACCCAGAGAGUGGUGAAUCUAUGAAAUUCUCUGCCCAGGGAAGUAGGCUUCUUCACUAAAUAUAUUUAAGAAACACAUAGGUUUUAACAUAGUAAGGGUUAUGGGGAAAAGGCAGGUGGAUGGAGUUGAGUUUACAGGCACAUCAGCCAUGAUCUUACUGGAUGGUAGGGCAGGCUGGAUGGGUCGGAUGCCCUACUCCUGCUCCUAUUUCUUACGUAAACAUUUCUUCGGAUACGCAAAGUGUAGAAGAGGCAAGGGUGGAAAAUUAUGCUGGAGAGGUAGUAAUGGGGGACAAUGAAACGGUGGACCAAACUGAAUAAGUAUUCAGCAUCAGUCUUCACUGGAAAAUACUAGCAGUAUGGUGGAUAUUGCAGGUGUUGGGGUUAUGAAAUGUGUGGAGUUACCAUUGCUGGGGAAACUGAAGGGUCUGAAGGUACUUGACCGGAUGGCGUACAUCCCAGAGCUCUGAAAGAGGUGGCUGAAGAGAUCAUGGAGGCAUUUGUAAUGAUGUCAGGAAUCAAUAGAUUAUGGAAUGAUUCCAGAGGACUAGAAAAUUGCAAGUGUCACUCCACUCUUAUGGAAGUGAGAAGCAGAAGAAAGGAAAUUGGGCCAGUUAGUCUGACCUCAGUGGUUAUAUAUACAGUAUAUAUUUGAGCUACAGCAAGGAACAGGAUUAAGUACAUACCCCCGAGGUGUGGUCUGCGUUGACUAUAUUUCAGAUACAGCAUGGAACAGGAUUAAGUACGUACCCCUCAUCUACCCAAAAAAACUCCUCUAACAUUAUUCAUUAAUUUGAGGCAAAACAUAACUAGAUGUAUUUAAAUGGAUAAUUCCCAUAUUUCAAGUUUGUAUGGCAUUUAUCUGGCCCUCUGUCCACUCAUUAAUACACAAUCCAGCCCACAGAGGCAAAAAGGUUGCUGACCCCCACUCUAGGUGCUCCACAGGCAAUGUUCCAACUGCCUUCCAAACUGUUGAUGCCUCUGCAUGCUAGUUUGCAGUGACUUCAAGAGAAGGAUAAAGUGAUGUCUUUGAAUGUCAUUUUCACAAUCUUUUGCAUUUGCAAAAUAAUUUGCUUUUCUGUUAUGUGGGCUGAAGUGAAUGACAUUGCAAGUUUCCUAUAACAGAUUCCAUCCGUCACAUUCAUUGGGAAGAUGUUGGAGUUGAUUAUUAAGAAUGAGGUCUCGGGGUACCUGGGGGCACAUGAUAAAAUAGUCACAUGGUUUCCUCAAGGGAAAAUCUUGCCUGAUAAAUCUGUUGGAAUUCUUCGAUAAAAUAACAAGCAGGAUAGACAAAGGAGUCAGUGGAUGUUGUGUACUUGGAUUUUCAGAAGGCCUUUGACAAGGUGCCAUAUUUGAGACUGCUUAACCAGUUCCAAGCCCAUGGUAUUACAGGAAAGAUUCUAGCAUGGAUAAAGCAGUGAUUGAUUGGCAGGAGGCACAUAGUGGGAAUAAAGGGAGUAUGUUCUGGUUGGCUGCUGGUGACUAGUAGUAUUCCAUAAGGGUCUGUGUUGGGAGUGAUCGUUUUUACAUUAUAUGUCAAUGAUUUGGAAGAUAGAAUUGAUGACUUUGUUGUAAAGUUUGCAGGUGAUACAAAAAUAGUGGGGCAGGUAGUUUUGAAGAAAUAGGCUACAGAAGGACUUAGAUUGGGAAGAGUGGCUGAUGAAAUACAGUGUUGGGAAUUGUAUGAUCAUGCACAUUGGUAGAAGAAAUGAAAGGAUUGACUAUUUUCUAAAUGGAGAGAAAAUACAAAAGACUGAGGUGCAAAGGUACUUGGGAGUCCUUGUGCAGGUUUCCCUGAAGGUUAAUUUGCAGGUUGAGUCUGUGGUGAGGAAGGUAAGUGCAAUGUUAGCAUUCAUUUCAAGCGGACUAGAAUACAAAAGCAAGGAUGUAAUGUUGAGACUUUUGUAAAACACUGGUGAGGCUUCACUUAGGGUAUUGUGAGCAGAUUUGGGCCCCUUUACUUAGAAAGGAUGUGCUGAAACUGGAGAGGGUUCAAAGGAUGUGCCCCAAAAUGAUUCCAGGAUUGCAUGGCUUGCCAUAUGAAGAGUGUUUGAUGGCUUUGGGCCUGUACUUGCUAGGGUUUAGAAGAAUGUUACCUUAGAGUAACCUAUCAAAUGGUGAAAGAGUGGAUGUGGAGAAUCUAUGACCAGAGAUCACAGCCUCAGAAUAGAGGGGUGUCCUUUCGGAACGGAGAUGAGAGGAAUUUCUUUAGUCAGAGAGUAGUGAAUCUGUGGAAUUGGUUACCACUGGCAGCUGUGGAGGUCAAGUCUUUAUGUACAUUUAAGGCAGAGGUUGAUAGACUCUUGCUUGGUCAGGGCAUGAAGGGAUACAGGGGGAAGGAAAGAGAUUGGGGCUGAGAGGGAAAGUGGAUGAAGACAGACUCAAUGCGCCAAAUGGCUUAUUGCUGCUCCUGUAUCUGAAAUGCCACCAUAUAAUACCCUGAGAUUUGUUUUACAGGCAUUCACAUUAGGACAAAGAAAUACAAUAGAAUGAAUGAAAAACUACACACAAAAAUCUCACAACAACCAACAUGCAAAAGAAGGACAAACCAAAUAUGAAACAAAUAAAAGUUGGAAGUAAAAUUUAUACCAGAGUACAUACGUCACCACAUACAAUCCUGAGAUUCUUUUUCCUGCGGGCAUACUUAGCAAACCUAUAGAACAGUAGCUGUAAACAGGAUCAAUGAAAGAGCAGGAGCAUAGAAGGUAUCAAUAUCCAAGUGUAAAUAUAAAUAAAUAACGAGAGCAUGGGAUAACAAGAUAAUGUCCUUGGUGAGAUCAUUAAUAAUGAAUGAUACUGAACAUGAGUUGUAGAAUCUUUGGGGCAGUAAAGUAACCUGCGGAUUUUGCACAAACUUCUAAAAAAAAAAGAGGUGGCUCAUGCCUUUGAAAUGGCACAAUUUGGUUCUAGGACACCCUCUCCACCUCCAAACCCCUAGUGAGAACUGGCUCCUGUAGUCGGUAAUCAGUUCUGCCGUUUCGUUGAUGUUGAAUGAGAGGUUUUGGUACCAUUCGACCAGAUUUCCAACCUCCCACCUAAAUGCUUAUUUACCUUUGGCCAAUGGCAUUAGAGUUGUAGCCAUACUUAGUCCGUAAACAAGUGCAAAGUUCUCCCAGUUCUGCUCCUGUGCUCUCUUGUGGGUAUUGGCUCUAUACCAUGUUUGAUUAAGUGCAACCCUUUGUGCAAUCCCGCUUUAUAAUUAAACCCUUGGGGGCCAGGUAUCUUUCCAAUGUAUGUAUAUAUUGCAUUCAAUUUUUCCUUUAGCAUGGUAGUAUGCAAUGUCCUUGGUACUACAAAUAUGAACUAACAAGACUCAGACAGCUGAACUAUAUUUAUAUAUCAGUCCCUAAGGUACAAGGCCAAUAUUCCAUUUGCCAUUUUUUGUAUUUUGCCAUGAAUUUACAUGAAGAAUCCGCCACCCGCCUCUGAUUGAGACCCACUGUUUCUGUAUGACAAUAUAUCCCGAAUCUGUAUGUAUAGCAUCAGACUGAAUAUCUGCAAUGUUGUUUAAAUAUUUAUUAAACCCAAUGCAUUUGCUGUUUAACUGAUUAACAAUAGUCACUUGCUUUCAAUUUAUUGAGAAGCA